UGGCUUAGUGGAUGGGGUGCAUUAAACACAGCACAGCCAGCUGCGGCUGGCAAUUCUUCUGCUUUAUUUAGUGCUGGUGCAACCUCAUCUUAAAUACUGUGUGCAGUUCUGUGCUCCACAAUCUAGAGGGAAUGUUACGAUACUUGCAUGGAUGCAAAGGAAGGCAUCAAAGCUGGUAAAAGUGCUGGAAGGCAUGUGGUGUGAGGAGAAGCUGAAGAUGGUCUGGCUGGCUGGUAGGGAUGAACGGAGGUAACCUUCUUUGUCUCCAAAACUUUCCAAAGGGAAAUGGAGAGGGAGGUGCCAUUUACUUCUUCCUUGUCACAGAUGCAAGGACACAAAGGAACAGCACAGAGGAAAGAACGUAACAGAGCAGAGAUCUAUCAGAACCACCCAGGGUCAGAAAUGCAUCAGAGAGACCUCUUUGGGAAGAGACCAGAUGACAACAUACAACUAGAAAAGGCCUUUGAGGGCUUCCGCAGCAUACUUCUUCACCCUGAAGGUGCCAUAUGAGGCGACCACUAUGGUGACAGUGGUUGUAAGCAAAUCUCCAGUCAGAGGUCAAAUCAUAAAUCAUGCAACCGUGGUGCAUGGGCUGCAUCCCCCUGCAGGUAGCUCACAGAGUUCCUCUUCCCGCAGGUCUGGAGCUGCAGUGAGCAUAGAAGUGCAGCAAAGCCUUUCCCAGCUCAGCAGCAAGCACUGAAGGCACACGCCCACUGCUCUCCAGGAAGAUGGAGCGGCUGCAGUGGGAAUGGAGAGGAACGGGGAGCAGUGGUGCAGGAGUGCUGGGGUGCAAGUAGCACUUCCUAAAGGCAGUUGGGGUCCUGGUGAUGCUUCCUGCUGUGGGGCACCACUCAGCUCCUGCGGGGGUAGAGGCUACCUGGGGACACGGCAUCCUGGGGGCAGCUACAUCUCCUCCACCGGCAGUGCAGGUGCAGUGAUGCAGCUGGGUGCUGCUGCAGGUUGUGAGCAAGAAAUGGCAGAAGCUGCACAAGUGUGAUGUUCUCUGUCCUGCUAAGAGCAGUGUCGGUGGGACCCGGCACGUGGUGGAACCUUCCACUACCCCCAUCCCAGUUCGCUGCUCCCCUGGGCCCUGCGCAGCUCUGGAGCCCCUGCUUCUCCCCCAGCUCUUGGCUGAGGCUGAGGCUUCCCAGGGUGGUGCUACUUAUCAGCGGGCAGCCCUUUGGGACUGCAUGCAUUCUCCCAUGGGUGGGGGGAGAGCUGCAGUGCCGUCCCCCAUCCAGCCUGCUUUCCGGAGUGCAAACAACAGCAGAACAUCUACACUGAGAACAACAAUUUAUUUCCCAGGUGUUCCGGCAGAUAUGCUGGCAGCAUUGGGCACGGAUGGUCUUCUCUAAGUUCCUUAAAGACGAGACAACACGGAGGAAGA
Long non-coding RNA from Tympanuchus pallidicinctus (lesser prairie-chicken), 1387 nucleotides. RefSeq lists it as uncharacterized. The transcript has 3 exons. The record is from RefSeq and is a predicted model, not a curated record. Lineage: Eukaryota; Metazoa; Chordata; Aves; Galliformes; Phasianidae.